GAUCUGGCUCAGGGUGAACGCUAGCGACAGGCUUAACACAUGCAAGUCGAGGGGCAGCACAGGGUAGCAAUACUUGGGUGGCGACCGGCGCACGGGUGAGUAACGCGUAUGCAACUUACCUAUCAGAGGGGGAUAGCCCGGCGAAAGUCGGAUUAAUACCCCAUGAAACAGGGGUCCCGCAUGGGAAUAUUUGUUAAAGAUUCAUCGCUGAUAGAUAGGCAUGCGUUCCAUUAGGCAGUUGGG
This 243-nucleotide ribosomal RNA is filed under the name uncultured bacterium. RNAcentral's name for it is "partial 16S ribosomal RNA". It matches the Rfam family "Bacterial small subunit ribosomal RNA", at positions 15 to 253 of the family's 1533-position model. The record is from RNAcentral.